AGCCACUGACUAACGCACAUUGUGCUGUUAAAGAAUCCACUGUGCGUGUGACAGCGGCUAA
This 61-nucleotide microRNA precursor is filed under the name Chrysemys picta bellii (western painted turtle). RNAcentral describes it as "Cpi-Mir-210_pre stem-loop". It matches the Rfam family "mir-210 microRNA precursor family", at positions 15 to 74 of the family's 96-position model. Lineage: Eukaryota; Metazoa; Chordata; Testudines; Emydidae. The record is from RNAcentral.